RNAcentral lists this ribosomal RNA (253 nucleotides) under uncultured bacterium. RNAcentral describes it as "partial 16S ribosomal RNA". It matches the Rfam family "Bacterial small subunit ribosomal RNA", at positions 524 to 776 of the family's 1533-position model. The record is from RNAcentral.
UACGUAGGGUGCAAGCGUUGUCCGGAAUUAUUGGGCGUAAAGAGCUCGUAGGCGGCUUGUCACGUCGACUGUGAAAACCCGGGGCUCAACUCCGGGCCUGCAGUCGAUACGGGCAGACUAGAGUGCGGUAGGGGAGACUGGAAUUCCUGGUGUAGCGGUGAAAUGCGCAGAUAUCAGGAGGAACACCGGUGGCGAAGGCGGGUCUCUGGGCCGUAACUGACGCUGAGGAGCGAAAGCGUGGGGAGCGAACAGG